CGUGCAGAGCAACAGGAUCUGUUGGUCCAGUUUAUGUACUGUCUAUGGGAGGGACAGAACAACUUCUGGUUCAGCCAAGGACCGAGGAGUUGAGGAGCUUUCAAAUAAGAGUGAUGAGAUACAGCCACUGUCACCUCAGGCCGUGCUGCUCCUGCUGAGUGUCCUCACACUACCCAUCAUGCUGAGAGCCUGAAAGGAGUAUCGAGUUCCCAGUUCGAUACAAUGAAGGCAGAGGAGUGGAGAACUGUCGAGUGUCAAGCUGUUUAUAAAUUGUUUUAAUGGGACUUAUUUAAAAAUGUUUGAAGUAUCUUUUGCGCAAUGUUUGUACCUGAGAUGUACUUGAGCUGAAACUCCAGCUGUUCAUGUGGCAUUUGCAAAAACGCCCUCGUGGUUUUAGUGACUUAUUUACUUAAUUUUUCUGCCUAGGACUAUAGAAAACAUCUUAUUCCAGUUUGCACUUGGGUAAACUUUUCUACCGAAAAGCUGCCCAUCUGGUACAACAAGCAGUUUCAGCAAAUGCAUAUUUACUGUACACUUUGGUCUGACGAGUUUUAGCUGUGUACGGAACAAAUAGCCAGCAUCUUUCACAGGAAACCCAACCCAACAGUGUGGUUAUGUUUUAAUAUUGACAUGUGAAAUUAUCUGUGACUGUGAACUAUUUGUUGAAGGCACAGCAAAAAAGGUUUCCUAUUCUAAAAUAAUAAAGUUGAAACUAUGGUUUCCUUGUUUGUA
Molecule: long non-coding RNA, 732 nt
Organism: Perca flavescens (yellow perch)
Lineage: Eukaryota; Metazoa; Chordata; Actinopteri; Perciformes; Percidae
Exons: 2
Source: RefSeq, a predicted model, not a curated record